Molecule: ribosomal RNA, 301 nt
Filed under: uncultured bacterium
Lineage: Bacteria
Description: partial 16S ribosomal RNA
Rfam family: Bacterial small subunit ribosomal RNA
Source: RNAcentral
CAGUAGCCGCGGGAAUACAGAGGGUGCGAGCGUUAAUCGGAUUUACUGGGCGUAAAGCGUGCGUAGGCGGCUAAUUGAGUCGGAUGUGAAAUCCCCGAGCUUAACUUGGGAAUUGCAUUCGAUACUGGUUAGCUAGAGUGUGGGAGAGGAUGGUAGAAUUCCAGGUGUAGCGGUGAAAUGCGUAGAGAUCUGGAGGAAUACCGAUGGCGAAGGCAGCCAUCUGGCCUAACACUGACGCUGAGGUACGAAAGCAUGGGGAGCAAACAGGAUUAGAGACCCGCGUAGUCCCUGUCUCUUAUAC